GUCUAGAUGAAAUUACUGUAAGCUUUGGAAUGUAGGGAUUAAAGAAUGCCAAGGAGCGAUGAUGACGACUUGCAAAGAUCUAGCAUGUCUUCAUGCUAAUGUAUUUUGAAUGACUACAUAGAGAGAAGCAUCCUGUAACAGAUUCAUCAGUAAGCUAGUCAGCUGGCUUUUUAUGCAAGGUGUCUAUCACCAGGCCACCCAAGC
This is a long non-coding RNA of Mauremys reevesii (Reeves's turtle), 204 nucleotides long. RefSeq lists it as uncharacterized. NCBI's taxonomy places the organism in Eukaryota, Metazoa, Chordata, Testudines, Geoemydidae. The record is from RefSeq and is a predicted model, not a curated record. The transcript has 3 exons.